CAAAACUAUGGCUUCCCUACUACUUAUACACACAACUCCAUGAAGAUAUAUGUCUUCUUGACAAAAUACUGAUAUUACUUGCAAUCCAUCAGAAUUAUAUUUCUACAGCUUGUCAAGUAAGGAUACUUGAUGCAUGCCUUGAAAGCUAGUAAAGGCACUAGAUCUGCUGGUAUCAUAAUGGGGGGUUACACUGACGGAAUGAGUGAACAAUGAUGUAGGCCUUCUAACCUAGCAGAUGAGAACUGGAUCCUGACUGAAGAAAGCUUUUGACUUCACCUGUGCUUCCUGCUGGAAAGAUCUAGUUGCUUCACACCAGAGGGUUCAUCUGAGGAGAUGAGGGGGUGGAUGAUAUUGUGAGGACAGGAGGCAAGGUGAUUUCUGGGAAAUUUACCACAGUGUGAAUUUAGAAAACGUGAUCAGUUUCAGAACACAGUACCCCACAGUGGAAAGAGAUGGAUAGGAAACCUACAUUGGACUACACAAGAAAAAAUAAGAUCACAGAAAAUGAAAUUCAUUUCUCAUGUUAAAUGGAUUAUGAGGAGUUGCGCAUAGGUCUUGAAGAGUAAGAAACACAGAUUUUGUACAUAUUUUGUUCACAUUGGUCUUCGAAGUUAAACAAAGCAGUCCAGACAACAGGUAGGCAUUAUGUAAUUCCAAAUAUUAUUUCUAGAUGUUUACAGGGAAAUAAAAUUCAGCCAAGACAUCA
This 706-nucleotide long non-coding RNA is filed under the name Anas platyrhynchos platyrhynchos (common mallard). Its description in RNAcentral is "lncRNA (ENSAPLG00000027358.1)". The record is from RNAcentral. Lineage: Eukaryota; Metazoa; Chordata; Aves; Anseriformes; Anatidae.